Molecule: ribosomal RNA, 253 nt
Filed under: uncultured bacterium
Lineage: Bacteria
Description: partial 16S ribosomal RNA
Rfam family: Bacterial small subunit ribosomal RNA
Source: RNAcentral
UACGGGGGGGGCAAGCGUUGUUCGGAAUUACUGGGCGUAAAGGGCUCGUAGGCGGUUUGUCGCGUCGGGAGUGAAAACCUCGGGCUUAACUCGGGGCUUGCUUUCGAUACGGGCAGACUAGAGGUAUGCAGGGGAGAACGGAAUUCCUGGUGUAGCGGUGAAAUGCGCAGAUAUCAGGAGGAACACCGGUGGCGAAGGCGGUUCUCUGGGUAUGAUCUGACGCUGAGGAGCGAAAGUGUGGGGAGCGAACGGG